AAGAUGAAGAUGAAUGGCCUGCACGCAGUGAUGGUGCCUUUCCCUGUGCAAGGCACCAUCAAUCCUCUUAUCAAUUUGGCUCACCUCCUCUCUUCACGAGGGGUUUUCAUCACCUUCGUCAACACGGAGUGGAGUCACAAGUGCAUGGCCAAAGCCGCUCAUAAUGAUGAUGAACUCUCCACUUCCACAUUUAAGUUUCUCACCAUUCCAGAUGGGUUGCCGCCAGAUCAUGGCCGUCUCUCCAAUUCUGCCGAGUAUGCAACGGCAGUGCAAAACCUUGGCCCCGUCUUGGAGUAUCAUUUGCUCCGCAGCUUAUCUGACGAAACUCCUCCGUACACUUGCAUUAUAACAGAAACUUUUAUGUCUUGCACUUAUGAAGUGGCCAACAAGAUGGGAUUGCCCCGAGUCAUCUUUUGGACAAUGUGCGCCGCCUCUUCCAUUGCUCAGUGCAACGCCAACCUUCUCCUCUCCAAUGGACAUAUUCCUGUCAAAGUGGAGGAAUCGAAGAGGGCAGACAAAGUGAUUACUUGUUUGCCAGGUAAUCUUCCGCCUUUGUUGCCGACCGAUCGGAUACAUCAGACGUUUUAUUUCAGCACUGUCUCCGUGAGUCCCAAUUUCAAAGUAAGGGAGAUUAUGUGCUGGUCAACACGUUCGAUGAGCUGGAGGCUCCCGACACGGUAAGCGCCCUGUCCUGUAAUGGCUGCCCUGCUUUGGCUGUAGGUCCUGUAUUUCUUCCCAAUUUCCUAGAAGGAAGAGAUAUAAACGGGUGGGCAAGUCUGUUGGAGCAGGACGAGAGCUGUCUUAAAUGGCUUGAUGCCCAUCACCCAACUUCUGUGAUAUACGUUUCCUUCGGCAGCAUCGCCGUCAAAUCAAACGAGCAGCUGGAGGAGUUGGCAAGGGGGUUAGAGAAGAGCGAGCACCCCUUUCUGUGGGUUCUGAGAAUGGAUAUUGCGAGAGGCAAGCCUGCAACUCUGCCGGAGGGUUUUGAAGAGAGGACAAAAGAUCGGGGACUUAUUGUGAAAUGGGCGCCUCAGGUGAGGGUUUUGAGUCACCCUUCGGUAGGAGGGUUUCUCACCCACUGCGGGUGGAACUCGUGUUUGGAAAGCAUGAGCAUGGGAAUUCCAAUGCUUGGAUGGCCCUAUUUCUGUGAUCAGUUUCUUGAUUGCCGCUUCUGCAAGGAUGUGUGGAAGAUUGGCAUUGAUUUGAAAGGCGUGGACGUUGAUGAAAAUGUGGUAGUUACGAGGGAGGAGAUAGAGAAAGGCGUGAGGAGACUGAUGGAGGGUCCAAAAGCGCGGGAGCUUAGAAAAAGAGGAAUGGAGUUGAAGGAGGCUGCAUUUAAAGCGGUUGCGCAGGGAGGUUCUUCUUUUACCAAUUUGAACAGGUUUAUUCAUGAUAUGGCACAAGUUUCCAAAUCGGCUUCUGUUUAAAGGCAUUUCGUCCCUCAUCGAUCACGAGAGUUGGAAACAAGCUUGCAUCAAGGAUACACAUGGGAGAAUGAUUCCAAAUAUUAGGAGCAAGACACCGGUGCUUAAGGCAUACAUAAGGAUGCAUUAUGAAAAGAAUUAGAAGAGUUACAAAAGGUAAAGAACUCAUA
Molecule: RNA transcript, 1594 nt
Organism: Cryptomeria japonica (Japanese cedar)
Lineage: Eukaryota; Viridiplantae; Streptophyta; Pinopsida; Cupressales; Cupressaceae
Gene name: UDP-glycosyltransferase 85A1-like
Exons: 3
Source: RefSeq, a predicted model, not a curated record